AGUAAUGCUUAGGAAUCUGCCUAUUAGUGGGGGACAACGUUUCGAAAGGAACGCUAAUACCGCAUACGCCCUACGGGGGAAAGCNGGGGAUCUUCGGACCUUGCGCUAAUAGAUGAGCCUAAGCCAGAUUAGCUAGUUGGUGGGGUAAAGGCCUACCAAGGCGACGAUCUGUAGCGGGUCUGAGAGGAUGAUCCGCCACACUGGGACUGAGACACGGCCCAGACUCCUACGGGAGGCAGCAGUGGGGAAUAUUGGACAAUGGGGGGAACCCUGAUCCAGCCAUGCCGCGUGUGUGAAGAAGGCCUUUUGGUUGUAAAGCACUUUAAGCGGGGAGGAGGCUCUUCUAGUUAAUACCUAGGAUGAGUGGACGUUACCCGCAGAAUAAGCACCGGCUAACUCUGUGCCAGCAGCCGCGGUAAUACAGAGGGUGCGAGCGUUAAUCGGAUUUACUGGGCGUAAAGCGUACGUAGGCGGCUUUUUAAGUCGGAUGUGAAAUCCCUGAGCUUAACUUAGGAAUUGCAUUCGAUACUGGGAAGCUAGAGUAUGGGAGAGGAUGGUAGAAUUCCAGGUGUAGCGGUGAAAUGCGUAGAGAUCUGGAGGAAUACCGAUGGCGAAGGCAGCCAUCUGGCCUAAUACUGACGCUGAGGUACGAAAGCAUGGGGAGCAAACAGGAUUAGAUACCCUGGUAGUCCAUGCCGUAAACGANGUCUACUAGCCGUUGGGGCCUUUGAGGCUUUAGUGGCGCAGCUAACGCGAUAAGUAGACCGCCUGGGGAGUACGGUCGCAAGACUAAAACUCAAAUGAAUUGACGGGGGCCCGCACAAGCGGUGGAGCAUGUGGUUUAAUUCGAUGCAACGCGAAGAACCUUACCUGGCCUUGACAUAGUAAGAACUUU
RNAcentral lists this ribosomal RNA (895 nucleotides) under Acinetobacter sp. Hi9. Its description in RNAcentral is "bacterial SSU rRNA". It matches the Rfam family "Bacterial small subunit ribosomal RNA", at positions 109 to 999 of the family's 1533-position model. The record is from RNAcentral. Lineage: Bacteria; Pseudomonadati; Pseudomonadota; Gammaproteobacteria; Moraxellales; Moraxellaceae.